RNAcentral lists this ribosomal RNA (253 nucleotides) under uncultured bacterium. RNAcentral describes it as "partial 16S ribosomal RNA". It matches the Rfam family "Bacterial small subunit ribosomal RNA", at positions 524 to 776 of the family's 1533-position model. The record is from RNAcentral.
UACGAAGGGUGCAAACGUUGCUCGGAAUCAUUGGGCGUAAAGCGCACGUAGGCGGCGCUGCAAGUCGGACGUGAAAUCCCUCGGCUCGACCGAGGACGUGCAUCCGAAACUGCAGUGCUCGAGUAUGGAAGAGGGUCGCGGAAUUCUCGGUGUAGAGGUGAAAUUCGUAGAUAUCGGGAGGAACACCAGUGGCGAAGGCGGCGACCUGGGCCAAUACUGACGCUGAGGUGCGAAAGCGUGGGGAGCAAACAGG